UUUUUGUUGUUUUAUUCCUAGCUGAUGAAUCAAUCUCUCGUGGAGAUUUAGAGUCAAACUGGAAAUCUUGGAUGAAAACCGACUUCAUCCACCAACAAUUGAAAGAAAAUGACAAUCUUGAAGACAGUUUGCUUUACAGAAUGGCAAAAGCAAGAAAUCCAAUGAUUCGGUACGCUGUUAGAACUGAAUUAUCAGAGAUGGAUGAAAAACAAGGCAUCGAACUGGCACAACUUGUCAACCAGCAGAAAUGCCAAGAAGGAGUGGAAACAUUCACAGGGUUUUACUGUGUUCAUACCAACAUGUAGUUCAUGCAACAGGCAUAACAGACUUUUCACUGCGUGAAAGUUUUCGUUCCACAAACUUUUGCGGCCAAGAGAUGGUUGAGUUAUGCUAUUCUCAAUAGUCGCCUGGGAGUUUUUUAAAAAUAAUAAUAAUACAUUUGUGGGUAAUUUGGGCAUAGUUAGGGUUGUACCGGACAAGCGGUUUACUGAUACAUGUAGUUAUUGUAGUUGUACAUAUAUCCGUAAAAAGUCCAUGUGCAUUGAUAUCUUACAACCUAAUAUUUUUAAAUAACUUGCAAGGCAACUGUAAGUCAAACUUGUUACUCAAAUCCUCUUAUGUCAAUUAUUGGAGACAAUGGUCUUCAGUGCGGAAGUCUGUAAGGACCCACUAUAUAUACCCUUCCUAUUUCAAAAGGUGCCAAACAAAAUGAUCUGGAAUGGUGCGAUCAUUUUUUUAUAUGAAGCUAUCACAAUUCUGAAAAUUUUUGGAAAUAUGGGGUAUAGUAAAAGGACCAACUUUGAAGAUAAAAAUUGUCUAAAACACUUUUUAUAUGCCUACGCCACGAUAAAUAAUGACUUGCAGUUCUCGGUUUCCAUUCUUGGUUUCUCAGCCUUGUGAGGUCUUACUUUGUGUGCCUUGUUAUAUUAGUAAUUAUUACUUUAUAGAUGUGUGUAUCUUGUUUUCUGUUUAUAAUUAUGAUUUAUAUAAGCUCAUGAACUUACCUAACUCAACAGUAAACACCUCAAAAUGCCUAGACACCAUUUUUUUCUAUGUUACUUUGAUACCUCUGAUGUAACAGUAAUCAAUAAUUUCACCAUUUCAUUGAAACCUCACAAAUGUUUCUGACCACCUUAUAGAAUAAUUCGAAUCUAGUAAGAGUUUUUCUACCAUUUUGUCUACUACCUCGCUCCAUAUGCUAAGUAUAUCUCUAUACUAUGUUUGCUUGAUACUUGCUAAUAUGUUUGCUGUAUAUUUAAGGUCUCAAAAAUGUCAUACUUCACACUUUUUCUCUACUUUCCCGUUAUGAUGGAUAUAUAUUGUGGAUUGAAUUUGGAAUUUGCGGAGGGGCUACUAGAGCAGGGGCGUGCAACAAAACAGCCUGCGGGCCCCAACCAUGGUGGCCCUUGUUAACAAUCGAGAUUUCUUCUUAUCAAGCAUAAAAUCUAAUUCGAAAGUUUGUUUAAAAUACGUACAUGUUUUUUACUCAUAUCGCUUCAUUUAAUCGCUUGCCUUCAUUGCUGUAACACUGAGCGAUAGCAGUAUUUCGUAUUUUUGUGUGGCCCAGCUCGAUGUCUGAAGUUGGUUAUAUGGCCCGCCGAAAAAAUGUUGCAAACCCCUGGUUUAGAGUAUUCAUAUGGAGUUCAUAAUAUUGGGAUAAAGUCUAAAAUUUGACUUUCUUGAGACACCAAGUUAUAAUUAUGCCCAGGCGUUCUGUUGCAUAUCAGCAUCCGUUACAAACUGAACGUAAUCACCUCAAUUUAUCUUCGUUUUUGCUAAUCAUGAAUAAAUAAAUACUUGUGCCACAGUA
Molecule: non-coding RNA, 1810 nt
Organism: Styela clava
Lineage: Eukaryota; Metazoa; Chordata; Ascidiacea; Stolidobranchia; Styelidae
Source: RefSeq, a predicted model, not a curated record